UGGGGAAUAUUGCACAAUGGGCGGAAGCCUGAUGCAGCGACGCCGCGUGGGGGAUGAAGGCCUUCGGGUUGUAAACUCCUUUCGACAGGGACGAAGCUUUUGUGACGGUACCUGUAUAAGAAGCACCGGCUAACUACGUGCCAGCAGCCGCGGUAAUACGUAGGGUGCGAGCGUUGUCCGGAAUUACUGGGCGUAAAGAGCUCGUAGGUGGUUUGUCGCGUCGUCUGUGAAAUUCCGGGGCUUAACUCCGGGCGUGCAGGCGAUACGGGCUGACUUGAGUGCUGUAGGGGAGACUGGAAUUCCUGGUGUAGCGGUGAAAUGCGCAGAUAUCAGGAGGAACACCGAAGGCGAAGGCAGGUCUCUGGGCAGUAACUGACGCUGAGGAGCGAAAGCAUGGGUAGCGAACAGG
Molecule: ribosomal RNA, 409 nt
Filed under: Actinomycetes bacterium
Lineage: Bacteria; Bacillati; Actinomycetota; Actinomycetes
Description: Actinobacteria bacterium partial 16S ribosomal RNA
Rfam family: Bacterial small subunit ribosomal RNA
Source: RNAcentral